GAUGAACGCUGGCGGCGUGCCUAAUACAUGCAAGUCGAGCGAACAGACGAGGAGCUUGCUCCUCUGACGUUAGCGGCGGACGGGUGAGUAACACGUGGAUAACCUACCUAUAAGACUGGGAUAACUUCGGGAAACCGGAGCUAAUACCGGAUAAUAUAUUGAACCGCAUGGUUCAAUAGUGAAAGACGGUUUUGCUGUCACUUAUAGAUGGAUCCGCGCCGCAUUAGCUAGUUGGUAAGGUAAAGGCUUACCAAGGCAACGAUGCGUAGCCGACCUGAGAGGGUGAUCGGCCACACUGGAACUGAGGAACGGUCCCGACUCCUACGGGAGGCAGCAGUAGGGAAUCUUCCGCAAUGGGCGAAAGCCUGACGGAGCAACGCCGCGUGAGUGAUGAAGGUCUUCGGAUCGUAAAACUCUGUUAUUAGGGAAGAACAAAUGUGUAAGUAACUAUGCACGUCUUGACGGUACCUAAUCAGAAAGCCACGGCUAACUACGUG
Molecule: ribosomal RNA, 497 nt
Filed under: uncultured bacterium
Lineage: Bacteria
Description: partial 16S ribosomal RNA
Rfam family: Bacterial small subunit ribosomal RNA
Source: RNAcentral